Molecule: non-coding RNA, 1433 nt
Organism: Triticum urartu
Lineage: Eukaryota; Viridiplantae; Streptophyta; Magnoliopsida; Poales; Poaceae
Source: RefSeq, a predicted model, not a curated record
UGGGUUCACCGUCAUAAUACGCUUUCUUCUUAUGUCAUAAUACGCUUUACGAUUUGUAUAGACAAAAUUGUAAUAUAAACGAGGUGGUACUAUUCUAACUUGCUCAUAAAGGUGGUACUAUUCUAACUUGCUCAUAAAUUCGUCUGUAACAGUUUUCGUUCGUCCUUUGAUUUGUAAAAAGAAAUAAACCAGCACGGGCUCUCCUCCUCGAUGCCUACAGGCACGGCGCCGCCGCGCGGCCAAUCUUCUUCCCCGGCCCUUUGCAAUUCUGUCUCCUUCCCCUCUCCAUCCGCCCAAAUCUUCUCCUGCGCCACCCUGAGCCUUCUCGGUCUCCAACCAGCUCCUGCAAUCUUCAAGCCCGCCGGCACCCAAUCCGCCUACAAUCUUCAAGCCCGCCGGCCCCAAAAGUAACCAGCGGUAGAUUCGAGUGAUCCCCGCUAGGAAUCCAUGGGAUUUGAGGUGGAUUUCCUAGGAGAGCGAGUAGGAAGGGUGAUGGUGGGGUUCAUGAGGAAGAUGAAAAAGCAGAAGGUGAUCCACGGCCCGCACGUGAUGCCGAGCCACCACGGGCCUCCUCCCCUGCCGCUCGCCGCCAUGCCAGGACGGCGUACUGGGCCUUGCCGGACGCCGAGGACAAGCGAGACAAUGGCCAUCCACCCUGGGCCAAGGACAAGCACAGAGCGACCAGCGGCGAUAACUAUGCUUGGGCAGAUGGAUUCCGCCGCGGUGGAGUUCGAGGAGAACAGUAGCUGUGAUGACUCAACAAGAUGGAAGUGCGGGACAAGGGAUGAGUGCAAUCGGCUCAGGUAAACUCCUCAUGUACACCGUCUGGCAUCAGUUCCAGUUGCGCUCGAAGCUUUCAAUCUCGCUGCUCCACUUAGUUUGCUGAAACACUGUCGGCAUGUGCUCCAUCCAAGGUACGCCAUCGUCCAAUUCUAUCACCAGUUUUGAACUUUAAACUAAUGACUAAGGGGUCGGAGUGGCCAGGCCUGAAAGUUCAAGGAAGAUUCAGCUUACAUCUGAAUUCCUUUGUAUUGCCUACAAUGUUAUAGCUUAAAUUCUGCUAAUAAAUAUCUAUAAAUGAUGUUCCAAACAAUUUCUUAGAGAUGGGUUGUGCACAAGGAUGCACAUUGUAGAUCUGUUAACUUAAGUUUUGAAUAAUGAGAUAUGUUCAUAUGCUUUGCUCACUAUUAUUCCUAAUUUUCUCUGGACAGAAAGACUGAAGUUUAUUGCUUUUGUUCAGCCGAAUGCUACUUGAUCAGUACUUAACCAAGAUUGGCAGCCAUUAUAGCUGGUGUAGAACUCAGAUAUACACACUGAAUGUUCCGAUAUGCCAAAAUAAACACAUUAGAAUAUUUUUAAUUAUAUUCCUACUAUUUUUUCGAGAUUGCUCUGCGGUUGCUAAUUUUGAUGUUCUGCUAUACUACUAUUGCAUA